RNAcentral lists this ribosomal RNA (847 nucleotides) under uncultured Lactobacillus sp. RNAcentral describes it as "bacterial SSU rRNA". It matches the Rfam family "Bacterial small subunit ribosomal RNA", at positions 51 to 869 of the family's 1533-position model. Lineage: Bacteria; Bacillati; Bacillota; Bacilli; Lactobacillales; Lactobacillaceae. The record is from RNAcentral.
AUACAUGCAGUCGAGCGAGCUGAAUCAAAGAUCCUUCGGGAUGAUUUGUUAGACGCUAGCGGCGGAUGGGUGAGUAACACGUGGGCAAUCUGCCCUAAAGACUGGGAUACCACUUGGAAACAGGUGCUAAUACCGGAUAACAACAUGAAUCGCAUGAUUCAAGUUUGAAAGGCGGCGCAAGCUGUCACUUUAGGAUGAGCCCGCGGCGCAUUAGCUAGUUGGUGGGGUAAAGGCCUACCAAGGCAAUGAUGCGUAGCCGAGUUGAGAGGCUGAUCGGCCACAUUGGGACUGAGACACGGCCCAAACUCCUACGGGAGGCAGCAGUAGGGAAUCUUCCACAAUGGACGCAAGUCUGAUGGAGCAACGCCGCGUGAGUGAAGAAGGUUUUCGGAUCGUAAAGCUCUGUUGUUGGUGAAGAAGGAUAGAGGCAGUAACUGGUCUUUAUUUGACGGUAAUCAACCAGAAAGUCACGGCUAACUACGUGCCAGCAGCCGCGGUAAUACGUAGGUGGCAAGCGUUGUCCGGAUUUAUUGGGCGUAAAGCGAGCGCAGGCGGAAUGAUAAGUCUGAUGUGAAAGCCCACGGCUCAACCGUGGAACUGCAUCGGAAACUGUCAUUCUUGAGUGCAGAAGAGGAGAGUGGAAUUCCAUGUGUAGCGGUGGAAUGCGUAGAUAUAUGGAAGAACACCAGUGGCGAAGGCGGCUCUCUGGUCUGCAACUGACGCUGAGGCCCGAAAGCAUGGGUAGCGAACAGGAUUAGAUACCCUGGUAGUCCAUGCCGUAAACGAUGAGCGCUAGGUGUUGGGGACUUUCCGGUCCUCAGUGCCGCAGCAAACGCAUUAAGCGCUC